Molecule: ribosomal RNA, 445 nt
Filed under: uncultured bacterium
Lineage: Bacteria
Description: bacterial SSU rRNA
Rfam family: Bacterial small subunit ribosomal RNA
Source: RNAcentral
GUGAGGAAUAUUGCGCAAUGGAGGCAACUCUGACGCAGCCAUGCCGCGUGCAGGAAGAAGGCGCUACGCGUUGUAAACUGCUUUUAACCGGGAAGAAACCCCAGGACGUGUCCUGGGUUGACGGUACCGGAGGAAUAAGCACCGGCUAACUUCGUGCCAGCAGCCGCGGUAAUACGAAGGGUGCAAGCGUUAUCCGGAUUCAUUGGGUUUAAAGGGUGCGUAGGCGGACCGUUAAGUCAGUGGUGAAAUCCUGCAGCUUAACUGUAGACUUGCCAUUGAUACUGGCGCUCUUGAGUGCGCUUGAAGUGGGCGGAAUGUGCCGUGUAGCGGUGAAAUGCUUAGAUAUGGCACAGAACACCAAUUGCGAAGGCAGCUCACUAAGGCGAUACUGACGCUGAGGCACGAAAGCGUGGGGAUCGAACAGGAUUAGAAACCCCGGUAGUCC